Molecule: ribosomal RNA, 454 nt
Filed under: uncultured bacterium
Lineage: Bacteria
Description: partial 16S ribosomal RNA
Rfam family: Bacterial small subunit ribosomal RNA
Source: RNAcentral
GAUGAACGCUGACAGAAUGCUUAACACAUGCAAGUCAACUUGAACUUCGGUUUGGGUGGCGGACGGGUGAGUAACGCGUAAAGAACUUGCCUCACAGCUAGGGACAACAUUUGGAAACGAAUGCUAAUACCUGAUAUUAUGAUUUUAGGGCAUCCUAGAAUUAUGAAAGCUAUAUGCGCUGUGAGAGAGCUUUGCGUCCCAUUAGCUAGUUGGAGAGGUAACGGCUCACCAAGGCGACGAUGGGUAGCCGGCCUGAGAGGGUGAACGGCCACAAGGGGACUGAGACACGGCCCUUACUCCUACGGGAGGCAGCAGUGGGGAAUAUUGGACAAUGGACCAAGAGUCUGAUCCAGCAAUUCUGUGUGCACGAUGAAGUUUUUCGGAAUGUAAAGUGCUUUCAGUUGGGAAGAAAAAAAUGACGGUACCAACAGAAGAAGUGACGGCUAAAUACGUG